RNAcentral lists this ribosomal RNA (253 nucleotides) under uncultured bacterium. Its description in RNAcentral is "partial 16S ribosomal RNA". It matches the Rfam family "Bacterial small subunit ribosomal RNA", at positions 524 to 776 of the family's 1533-position model. The record is from RNAcentral.
UACGAAGGGGGCUAGCGUUGCUCGGAAUCACUGGGCGUAAAGCGCACGUAGGCGGCUUGUUAAGUCAGGGGUGAAAUCCUGGAGCUCAACUCCAGAACUGCCUUUGAUACUGAAGAUCUUGAGUUCGGGAGAGGUGAGUGGAACUGCGAGUGUAGAGGUGAAAUUCGUAGAUAUUCGCAAGAACACCAGUGGCGAAGGCGGCUCACUGGCCCGAUACUGACGCUGAGGCACGAAAGCGUGGGGAGCAAACAGG